Molecule: ribosomal RNA, 497 nt
Filed under: uncultured bacterium
Lineage: Bacteria
Description: partial 16S ribosomal RNA
Rfam family: Bacterial small subunit ribosomal RNA
Source: RNAcentral
GAUGAACGCUGGCGGCGUGCCUAAUACAUGCAAGUCGAUCGAACAGACGAGGAGCUUGCUCCUCUGACGUUAGCGGCGGACGGGUGAGUAACACGUGGAUAACCUACCUAUAAGACUGGGAUAACUUCGGGAAACCGGAGCUAAUACCGGAUAACAUGUUGAACCGCAUGGUUCAACAGUGAAAGACGGUCUUGCUGUCACUUAUAGAUGGAUCCGCGCCGCAUUAGCUAGUUGGUAAGGUAACGGCUUACCAAGGCAACGAUGCGUAGCCGACCUGAGAGGGUGAUCGGCCACACUGGAACUGAGACACGGUCCAGACUCCUAGGGGAGGCAGCAGUAGGGAAGCUUCCGCAAUGGGCGAAAGCCUGACGGAGCAACGCCGCGUGAGUGAAGAAGGUCUUCGGAUCGGAAAACUCUGUUAUUAGGGAAGAACAAAUGUGUAAGUAACUAUGCACGUCUUGACGGUACCUAAUCAGAAAGCCACGGCUAACUACGUG